CGGCCAGUACGCGCACGCCUACCGCCAGUACGCGCCGCAACACCUCAGGUACUUCCCGCUGAACACGGCGCUGGCGGCGCCGCCGGCGGUCGCGUCGCCUCCGGAGUCCAGCUCGGAGUCGGACGGCGAGUGGGGCAGCAGCUCCUCCUCCGACUGCGACACCGACGCGCUGCGCGGAGCUAAGAGAAAAAAGCUUACGAAGAGCAAGCGCAACAGCCAGGCGGAGGGCUCGACGGCGAGCAAGGAGGACGAGGCGGUGGACACGUGCCGCGUCUGCAAGCUGCGCCUCGAGGCCAACCGCAAGUACACGCACGAGCGCUUCCUCGUCUGCGCCAACUGCAACGCCAAGCUGCACCCGUCGUGCGUGGAGCUGGGCCCGGACACGAUCCGCAAGGCGCGCGAGUACGCGUGGCAGUGCGCCGAGUGCAAGACGUGCGGCGCCUGCGCGCGCCCCGCCGACGACGACAAGAUGCUGUUCUGCGACCUGUGCGACCGCGGCUUCCACAUCUACUGCGUGGGCCUGCCCGCCGUGCCCACCGGUCGCUGGCACUGCGUGGAGUGCGCCGUGUGCAAGUCGUGCGGCGCGCGCGAGCCGGGCGG
RNAcentral lists this unclassified non-coding RNA (600 nucleotides) under Melitaea cinxia (Glanville fritillary). RNAcentral describes it as "misc RNA ENSMCXG00005007813.1". Lineage: Eukaryota; Metazoa; Arthropoda; Insecta; Lepidoptera; Nymphalidae. The record is from RNAcentral.